AUGUUUAGUUACUAUUAUAUUUAAAAGGUUUAUGUAGGAUACUAUUAAGCACGGAUAAAGCUGGGUGGGUCCAGCAAGGUUCAUUUCUAUUUCACUGUAACUGUGAUAUUCAUAGUGAUACUAACUUAGACUAGAGAAAAACAUGCUAAUACGUAAAUGUAGUAAUUAACAAACAGCUCCCUUGGGUGUCUGUCAAAAGUAAUGCGUCAGUAAUUACAAUAAAUAUGAAUAGUUCAAAGGUAAGAGGAUACAAUGCGACCCAGUACCAUUCUGUAGUCUUAACACUAUAUAUAUAUAUUUUUUAUGUACUCUUCUUAAGGAUUUAUAUUUUUAGUUGAUGUUCAGGUUUUAAAUGAAUGUUUUUUCAUCUUUGUUUUGCCCCCGGAUGCACGCCAUGGUCCAACAACCCUGAAUUAAAGACUGAACAUAGUGAGCAGUGUAAACCAGGUUCAUCCGCUAUGAGGGCUCGUUAUUGGAUUAAUGCUGCUUGGAUUCACUUCUUGUGUUUACAUUCACGUUGUAUUACAUUUCUGAAAUCGGCAUUCACAGCAUUUCAUUGAAGAGGUUAACACUUUAAAGUAGACGGAUAUUGACAGAAUGAUUCAUUCCUUAGGUUGUUUCUAGGAUAAAACUUAAUUUAUCUGAUCAUUUAUUUUUUUAUCUGUUCAUUUACAAACUACUUUGAAUGAAGAGUUGAAUCUCAAGGACUAGAAACGGACAACAGUAAAUAUUUACGUACUAUUGGAAGCUUGAAUUGUUUGACUGUUUACAAAUGUCCUGACUUUUGACAUUUGCAUUUGUCAUGGACCAAAGGGUCUUUCAGGGAAAAUUUGCGACGACGGUGGCACUGGACAAUACAAGUCAUAGGAUCUUUUAAGAAUUUUGACCUAAACCCUCAGGAAGAAAAUUUGAUCUAGAGGAAUUACAUUUUCUGGGUCACAUGAAACCUCGUGGACCAAAAAUACUUUCGCCCUUUGUCUUCCAUUGUGAAAGAGAGCUCUGUAUCUCAAAAGGUUGUUUUUUGUUUAUGUGAAUGCGCGUAUGGUGCCAUCGCAGUAUCAAAGCAACUUAUUACACACUUAAUAUUGAGCCCUGUGUACUUAUAGGAAUCUUGAAUUUGAGGUUGUAGAGUGUGGGUACACGUGUGGAUUUGUACACCAGUGAGCCUUGUUUUUUUACACUGGAGUUUUAAUAUCAGGAUGAGCCGAACACAGCUGCUGCUGUUCUUUUUCUCAAUGUGCCUUCUAUUCGGUUCCUCGGCGUGGAACCUCGUCUCAGGGGCCACAGACGGCGCCAGAAAGCUCGCUGUUGUGUAACAUGUUUGAAGGCUCCCAGUUUUCUGCCCACUUAAUGUUGAAUAAAUGACUACUAGGUGUUGUGUUGUCCUGCUUAAUAUGCACUGGUCUGUCGUCGGGCUUUUGUAGCCGAUUCAAGGUAGUUUUCAUGAUACUUGACGAGUUUG
Molecule: long non-coding RNA, 1462 nt
Organism: Gasterosteus aculeatus aculeatus (three-spined stickleback)
Lineage: Eukaryota; Metazoa; Chordata; Actinopteri; Perciformes; Gasterosteidae
Source: Ensembl